This 445-nucleotide ribosomal RNA is filed under the name Pagrus pagrus (common seabream). RNAcentral's name for it is "partial 12S ribosomal RNA". It matches the Rfam family "Bacterial small subunit ribosomal RNA", at positions 7 to 794 of the family's 1533-position model. The record is from RNAcentral. Lineage: Eukaryota; Metazoa; Chordata; Actinopteri; Spariformes; Sparidae.
ACAAAGGUUUGGUCNUGACUUUUCUGCCAGCUCUAGCUAAACUUUACACAUGCAAGUAUCCGCGCCCCCGUGAGAAUGCCCUAUAGUUCCCUGCCCGGAAACAAGGAGCUGGUAUCAGGCACAUUUAACAUGCCCACGACACCUUGCUCAGCCACACCCCCAAGGGUACUCAGCAGUGAUAAACAUUGACACAUAAGUGAAAACUUGACUCAGUUAAAGCUAAGAGGGCCGGUAAAACUCGUGCCAGCCACCGCGGUUAUACGGGAGGCCCAAGUUGUUAGAAAUCGGCGUAAAGGGUGGUUAAGAACAAGCUUAAAAUUAAAGCCGAACGCCUUCUAGGCUGUUAUACGCAUCCGAAGGUAAGAAGCCCAAUCACGAAAGUAGCUUUAUAUUUUCUGACCCCACGAAAGCUAAGAUACAAACUAGGAUUAGAUACCCUAUUAUA